GACGAACGCUGGCGGCGUGCUUAACACAUGCAAGUCGAACGCUGAAGGCUCAGCUUGCUGGGCUGGAUGAGUGGCGAACGGGUGAGUAACACGUGAGUAACCUGCCCUCUUCUUUGGGAUGACGGUCGGAAACGGCUGCUAAUACCGGGUAUUCACUGUCCUUCGCAUGGGGGGUGGUGGAAAGGUUUUUUCUGGUGGGGGAUGGGCUCGCGGCCUAUCAGCUUGUUGUUGGGGUGAUGGUUUACCAAGGCUUUGACGGUGAUCCGGCCUGAGAGUGUGACCGGUCACUUUGCACUGUGAUACGGCCCGACUCCUACGGGAGGCAGCAGUUUGGAAUAUAAACUAGGGUCGAAAGGCUUAUGCUGUGACGCCGCUUGAUGGAUGAAGGCCUUGUGUUUGUUAUUUCUUUCCUUUGGUCAUCAACUGGUUGAGGUUUUGGGUGUUGUUGUGUGAUGUGUUCUAAGGAUGUUGCCUGGGUUUGCCGUGGAUGUGCGUUGGGUGUGUAAGCUUUGUGAAUGUUGUGGUGGUUUGGUGUGGUUGUUUAGUGAUUUACGUCUGACCUAUGUUGAGUAUGGGAUGGCGUGGGUUGCUCGGCUGUUGCUCCUUUGCGGAUGAGCCGAAAUGGUGUGAAAGCGGGGUGGUAGUGGUUUUACAUGCUAUGUUGUGCUCUUUUGUGUUGUUGUGCUGUUGUGGUGUUGUGUGGUGGUAUGUGAUACCUGUGUGUGUGUUGCCUGUGUUUACGUAUGUAUCUAUGUUUUGCGUGUGUUGUGUGUGAGUGAUGUGUUGUGUGUACGUUGUGAAAUGUGAAAUAACAAUAGAUGUUGAUAUAGUGUGUAUGUGUUUUUGUUUUAACUGUGUCAUGUGCGAUGCUCUGCAUAUUAUAUGUGUGGGGCUGCUUUACUGUAUGUGCGCAUCGCUGGCGUCCAUUGGCCGUAGUGUCUGUGUCUGAUUGAUGGUUGUCGUGCUGUGUGUGCGUUAGCUGUUGUGUGUCUAGUUAGACGUGUUGUAGUUGGCUUUUACUUAUAGUAUGGAGUCGCCUAUUCCUGCUAGCUGGAUGGUUUGAAUGAUAUAGUGCUUUGGUUAUAUGUAGAGCUAGUUGUUCGUUG
RNAcentral lists this ribosomal RNA (1106 nucleotides) under uncultured Fusobacterium sp. RNAcentral describes it as "partial 16S ribosomal RNA". The stretch from base 2 to 446 matches the Rfam family "Bacterial small subunit ribosomal RNA", at positions 29 to 544 of the family's 1533-position model. Lineage: Bacteria; Fusobacteriati; Fusobacteriota; Fusobacteriia; Fusobacteriales; Fusobacteriaceae. The record is from RNAcentral.